GCUCUCAUGAAGUUAGCGGCGGACGGGUGAGUAACACGUGGGUAACCUGCCCAUAAGACUGGGAUAACUCCGGGAAACCGGGGCUAAUACCGGAUAACAUUUUGAACUGCAUGGUUCGAAAUUGAAAGGCGGCUUCGGCUGUCACUUAUGGAUGGACCCGCGUCGCAUUAGCUAGUUGGUGAGGUAACGGCUCACCAAGGCAACGAUGCGUAGCCGACCUGAGAGGGUGAUCGGCCACACUGGGACUGAGACACGGCCCAGACUCCUACGGGAGGCAGCAGUAGGGAAUCUUCCGCAAUGGACGAAAGUCUGACGGAGCAACGCCGCGUGAGUGAUGAAGGCUUUCGGGUCGUAAAACUCUGUUGUUAGGGAAGAACAAGUGCUAGUUGAAUAAGCUGGCACCUUGACGGUACCUAACCAGAAAGCCACGGCUAACUACGUGCCAGCAGCCGCGGUAAUACGUAGGUGGCAAGCGUUAUCCGGAAUUAUUGGGCGUAAAGCGCGCGCAGGUGGUUUCUUAAGUCUGAUGUGAAAGCCCACGGCUCAACCGUGGAGGGUCAUUGGAAACUGGGAGACUUGAGUGCAGAAGAGGAAAGUGGAAUUCCAUGUGUAGCGGUGAAAUGCGUAGAGAUAUGGAGGAACACCAGUGGCGAAGGCGACUUUCUGGUCUGUAACUGACACUGAGGCGCGAAAGCGUGGGGAG
RNAcentral lists this ribosomal RNA (703 nucleotides) under Bacillus sp. FJAT-17401. RNAcentral describes it as "bacterial SSU rRNA". It matches the Rfam family "Bacterial small subunit ribosomal RNA", at positions 80 to 768 of the family's 1533-position model. Lineage: Bacteria; Bacillati; Bacillota; Bacilli; Caryophanales; Bacillaceae. The record is from RNAcentral.